ACAAGCAGCGGAGCGUGUGGUUUAAUUCGAGGCUACACGAAGAACCUUACCAGGGUUUGACAUGCAAGUGGUAGGAAUCCGAAAGGUGACCGACCCUUCGGGGAGCUUGCACAGGUGCUGCAUGGCUGUCGUCAGCUCGUGUCGUGAGAUGUUCGGUUAAGUCCGCUAACGAGCGCAACCCUCGUCGUGUGUUAUACGUGUCACACGAUACUGCCGGUAUCAAGCCGGAGGAAGGUGGGGAUGAUGUCAAGUCAGCAUGGCCUUUAUAUCCUGGGCUACACACACGCUACAAUGGCAGAUACAAUAGGUUGCGAAACCGCGAGGUGGAGCCAAUCCUCAAAGUCUGUCUCAGUUCAGAUUGUAGGCUGCAACUCGCCUGCAUGAAGUUGGAGUUGCUAGUAAACGCAGGUCAGCUAUACUGCGUUGAAUACGUUCCCGGGGUUU
RNAcentral lists this ribosomal RNA (444 nucleotides) under uncultured Leptolinea sp. Its description in RNAcentral is "bacterial SSU rRNA". It matches the Rfam family "Bacterial small subunit ribosomal RNA", at positions 925 to 1382 of the family's 1533-position model. Lineage: Bacteria; Bacillati; Chloroflexota; Anaerolineae; Anaerolineales; Anaerolineaceae. The record is from RNAcentral.